Molecule: ribosomal RNA, 253 nt
Filed under: uncultured bacterium
Lineage: Bacteria
Description: partial 16S ribosomal RNA
Rfam family: Bacterial small subunit ribosomal RNA
Source: RNAcentral
GACGUAGGGCGCGAGCGUUAAUCGGAAUUACUGGGCGUAAAGCGUGCGCAGGCGGUUUUGCAAGCCGGAUGUGAAAUCCCCGGGCUUAACCUGGGAAUGGCAUUUGGGACUGCAAGGCUGGAGUGCGGCAGAGGAGACUGGAAUUCCUGGUGUAGCAGUGAAAUGCGUAGAUAUCAGGAGGAACACCGAUGGCGAAGGCAGGUCUCUGGGCUGACACUGACGCUCAUGCACGAAAGCGUGGGGAGCAAACAGG